Long non-coding RNA from Cuculus canorus (common cuckoo), 1258 nucleotides. RefSeq lists it as uncharacterized. Lineage: Eukaryota; Metazoa; Chordata; Aves; Cuculiformes; Cuculidae. The record is from RefSeq and is a predicted model, not a curated record. The transcript is spliced from 4 exons.
CAAGGUCUCAGUGCCUGCCCUGCUGCUUCUGCUGUAGCCAGUGUUUUUUCUGUCCCUUUUAGAAUUGAGCUGGUGUGUUCCUGACUACUCUGUUCAACACCUCUGGCUCCCUUAUUCCCCUCGGAUUUGAUGCUGCUCUCGCAUCAUGUGGGGUUCCUGCCUUGGAAUCUGGAGAGCCUGAGGUCAUCCGAGUAGUUUUUUUUGACCAAACACUAAGCUACAGGACAUUGAUCUCAGCUAAAAACUCCAAACCAUCCUGCUCACGUGAUAGUCAGCAUCUCCUGAUUCCAAAACCCUCUAUGAUCUUUCUAAUCUUUGAUGCCUGUGAAGAUGGGAGAUGAAAGCAUGUCCCACAAUGUUGAAGGUAUGGGUGAGAAAUCCAUGUGGUUGUUUAAAAUUCAGCAUGUGCCUUGAAAGGAGAACUCAGCUGGGCAACAUCAAUGUGGUUGUAGUAACAUCGUUUCUCUAGCCUCAAUAAUGGGAAGACAAAAACCUCAGUCCAUGUGUUUCAGUAACCAAUUGUUAGUUAACAAAUACUCAGUCUUAUUUAAUCCUUGAGUCCUAAUAGAGGAGUGGCAACACAAUUGUUUAAAAAAUAGUCUUUCAUUAAAAAUAUUUUCUAAGGUUUAUUAGUUAAGAAACAAAUGUAUAUAAUGGGUCAUAAAUAAUAUAUCUGGGCAGGCAACAUAAAAAAUAAAAGCGAUGCAUAAGUGAAAUACCACCUGUGGUUAUAUUGUGUAACCCAAUGGAGAAGAUAACUGUAAAUGAGAACAAGACACUUAGGUCUUAUAACUGUAAAUAUAUAGAUUCAUAGACAGCUUUAACCACAAAAAAGUGACUGAACUUGUCAUACUGCUGACUUCAUGCCAGAUACCUCAGGGCCGAAUAUGACAUCCACUCUGAUGUGUUGUUUAGGGAGAGCACUCAAAGGUAGAAACAUACCUUUGUCCUGAAAACUCCUAUCUUGAGCUCUAUCACAGCAUCUCUGUCUAACCCACCAUUUUUGUCAUCCCAUGUUUUUUAUUGAUCCUUCAUCCUUUGUCUUCCUCCCUUCAAUGCCUCAGUCUUGAACCUACAGAGAUGGUGGUGUUGCUGCCUUUGAAGUUGAAGCAAGUCCUCCCAGCUGUUGGUACUGGCAUUUAUGCACAAGGCGCUCAUGGGUUUCAUGCCAGUCCUGCGUUGCCAGCACUUCCUCUGCCUAUUAGGACACUUGAAGUUUGGAUCCCUGAAGCCACAACCUUUGUUCAUUUGGCUCAGU